AAUCCAUGGUGAGGGCACCUUCUUAAAAGAUCCUUGUAUCUCUCCCAUGCAUCAUAGAGUGUCUCUAGAUCCAUCUGUACAAAAGAAAAGAUAUCAUUCCUCAACUU
This 107-nucleotide small nucleolar RNA is filed under the name Gossypium arboreum. RNAcentral describes it as "Plant small nucleolar RNA R71". It matches the Rfam family "Plant small nucleolar RNA R71". From Rfam's summary of the family: R71 is a member of the C/D box family of snoRNAs containing the C (UGAUGA) and D (CUGA) box motifs. Multiple nearly identical copies of this snoRNA have been identified in Arabidopsis, and it is thought to function as a 2'-O-ribose methylation guide for 18S ribosomal RNA. Lineage: Eukaryota; Viridiplantae; Streptophyta; Magnoliopsida; Malvales; Malvaceae. The record is from Rfam by way of RNAcentral.